RNAcentral lists this ribosomal RNA (496 nucleotides) under uncultured bacterium. Its description in RNAcentral is "partial 16S ribosomal RNA". It matches the Rfam family "Bacterial small subunit ribosomal RNA", at positions 29 to 507 of the family's 1533-position model. The record is from RNAcentral.
AUGAACGCUGGCGGCGUGCCUAAUACCUGCAAGUCGAGCGAACGGACGAGAAGCUUGCUUUUCUGAUGUUAGCGGCGGACGGGUGAGUAACACGUGGAUAACCUACCUAUAAGACUGGGGUAACUUCGGGAAACCGGAGCUAAUACCGGAUAAUAUUUUGAACCGCAUGGUUCAUAAGUGAAAGACGGUCUUGCUGUCACUUAUAGAUGGAUCCGCGCUGCAUUAGCUAGUUGGUAAGGUAACGGCUUACCAAGGCAACGAUGCAUAGCCGACCUGAGAGGGUGAUAGGCCACCCUGGAACUGGGACACGGUCCAGACUCCUACGGGAGGCAGCAGUAGGGAAUCUUCCGCAAUGGGCGAAAGCCUGACGGAGCAACGCCGCGUGAGUGAUGAAGGUCUUCGGAUCGUAAAACUCUGUUAUUAGGGAAGAACAUAUGUGUAAGUAAAUGUGCACAUCUUGACGGUAACUAAUCAGAAAGCCACGGCUAACUACGUG